This 305-nucleotide ribosomal RNA is filed under the name uncultured bacterium. RNAcentral describes it as "bacterial SSU rRNA". It matches the Rfam family "Bacterial small subunit ribosomal RNA", at positions 334 to 636 of the family's 1533-position model. The record is from RNAcentral.
CAUCCCUACGGGGGGCAGCAGUGAGGAAUAUUGGUCAAUGGGCGAGAGCCUGAACCCGCCAAGUCGCGUGAGGGAAGACGGUCCUAUGGAUUGUAAACCUCUUUUGUCGGGGAGCAAAAAGGCCUCGUGAGGCCACAAGUGAGAGUACCCGAAGAAACAGCAUCGGCUCACUCCGCGCCAGCAGCCGCGGUAAUACGGAGGAUGCGAGCGUUAUCCGGUUUUAUUGGGUUUAAAGGGUGCGUAGGCGGACUGGAAAGUCAGCGGUUAAAUCGAGAGGCUCAACCUCUUUCCGCCGUUGAAACUGU